CUUGAACGCUGGCGGCAGUCCUAACACAUGCAAGUCGAACGAGUGGCGGACGGGUGAGUAAUGUCUGGGAACCUGCCCGAUGGAGGGUGAUAACUACUGGAAACGGUAGCUAAUACCGCAUACCAUCGGAUGUGCCCAGAUGGGAUUAGCUAGUAGGGGGGGUAACGGUUCACCGAGGCGACGAUCCCUAGCUGGGCGGAGAGGAUGACCAGCCACACUGGACAUGAGACACGGUCCAGACUCCUACGGGAGGCAGCAGUGGGGAAUAUUGCACAAUGGGCGCAAGCCUGAUGCAGCCAUGCCGCGUGUAUGAAGAAGGCCUUCGGGUUGUAAAGUACUUUCAGCGAGGAGGCGUUACUCGCAGAAGAAGCACCGGCUAACUCCGUGCCAGCAGCCGCGGUAAUUC
This 406-nucleotide ribosomal RNA is filed under the name uncultured bacterium. RNAcentral's name for it is "partial 16S ribosomal RNA". It matches the Rfam family "Bacterial small subunit ribosomal RNA", at positions 30 to 526 of the family's 1533-position model. The record is from RNAcentral.